Molecule: ribosomal RNA, 497 nt
Filed under: uncultured bacterium
Lineage: Bacteria
Description: partial 16S ribosomal RNA
Rfam family: Bacterial small subunit ribosomal RNA
Source: RNAcentral
GAUGAACGCUGGCGGCGUGCCUAAUACAUGCAAGUCGAGCGAACAGACGAGGAGCUUGCUCCUCUGACGUUAGCGGCGGACGGGUGAGUAACACGUGUAUAACCUACCUAUAAGACUGGGAUAACUUCGGGAAACCGGAGCUAAUACCGGAUAAUAUAUUGAACCGCAUGGUUCAAUAGUGAAAGACGGUUUUGCUGUCACUUAUAGAUGGAUCCGCGCCGCAUUAGCUAGUUGGUAAGGUAACGGCUUACCAAGGCAACGAUGCGUAGCCGACCUGAGAGGGUGAUCGGCCACACUGGAGCUGAGACACGGUCCAGACUCCUACGAGAGGCAGCAGUAGGGAAUCUUCCGCAAUGGGCGAGAGCCUGACGGAGCAACGCCGCGUGAGUGAUGACGGUCUUCGGAUCGUAAAACUCUGUUAUUAGGGAAGAACAAAUGUGUAAGUAACUAUGCACGUAUUGACGGUACCUAAUCAGAAAGCCACGGCUAACUACGUG